GAAAUCGAAACUAUGGCAUGCGCG
Molecule: non-coding RNA, 24 nt
Filed under: Drosophila melanogaster (fruit fly)
Lineage: Eukaryota; Metazoa; Arthropoda; Insecta; Diptera; Drosophilidae
Source: RNAcentral